UACGUAGGGGGCGAGCGUUGUCCGGAGUUACUGGGCGUAAAGGGCAUGCAGGCGGUCCGACACGUUUUGUGUGACAGCGGGUGGCUUAACUACCCGAGGAUGCAAAAGACGGUUGGACUUGAGGACUCGAGAGGGACACGGAAUUCCGGGUGGAGUGGUGAAAUGCGUAGAGAUCCGGAGGAACACCGAAGGCGAAGGCAGUGUCCUGGCGAGUGACUGACGCUGAGGCGCGAAAGCUAGGGGAGCGAACGGG
This 253-nucleotide ribosomal RNA is filed under the name uncultured bacterium. Its description in RNAcentral is "partial 16S ribosomal RNA". It matches the Rfam family "Bacterial small subunit ribosomal RNA", at positions 524 to 776 of the family's 1533-position model. The record is from RNAcentral.